AUCCUUGAGUUUUCUCACUUUUACCCUCCCUAUAUCUGCCUGCCUCCAUCCUUCUGAGGUGGGGGGGAGUAAGCAACCAAUGGUGUGGUGCUUAGUUGCUCUCUGAGUUUAAGCCAUGACACUCUUACUUUUCUUGUGCCUGUCACAUUUAGUGCUUGAGCAAUCUUGUGAACUACUACUUUUUGACUGGCAUAAUUUUUCCUCUUUCUGGCAGGGAAAAAACUUUGGUGGCACAGUUUUCAAGGCCACUAGAAUAUAUAAUCAACCUUCUUACUGGUAUGAGAGGUACCAGUAAGACUUUUUACAUGUUUAGUGCACACAAAGCAAGCCUCCUUAAGUAGUGAAACCUACAGUCCACCUACAGAAACACAGAGGGAUUCUACUAAGCAGCAGUAUAAUUCUUACACUACAAGAUUCAGCAAUUAUCACAGGUAUCUACAUUUAAUAUAGCAGCUCAUUGCUAAGUGUUAUUUAAAUUACUUUGAUACACUUCAUUAGUCAACCUAAACUUCAAUAGUUAACCAGAGUGGCAGAACAGGAUGAAGCAGCUAUUUCAAACAUUCAUUUAGGCCCUCAGGUAUAUUAGCUGUCUACAACACAAUUAAGUGUUCUGGAAACUUACUUUAUAAAUAAUGAUGAAUAGUAUUCAGAUGUCAAAGUUCCAUGCAACUCUAGACUAGACUACUUUUUUCUUGGGAAAUAAUUUGUGCACUACCCUGAGAAUAUGCAAUACAUUCCAAGCACAUGCCAAAUGUGACCAUUUCCCACAGAAGUAUAGGAGAACUGCUCUGUCUAAGGCUCCUAUUGCAGUAGUGACAGUUCAAAACCACUGAAUAGCAUCAGAUUAUUUAAAUACUUAGCUUAACUUCAACUCUCAUAGUCCACAACACACAAUUCAGGUACAAAAAUAUAUUCUCUGGGCCAUAUACUCCACCUGGAAGAACUAGUGAUGGGGAAAAUCUAUUAUUUUAUAAAGUCCCAAAACAUUUUUUUUCACCUUUGCUAGCAUGAGAAUAAUCCUCAGCUGACUUCCUGUGGUGUUACAGAACAGUGUGGGAGGUGAUAGCAACAGUAAUUAACUGUUGAGCAACACAAGACACUCCCUUCUAACUGCCACAAAACAUGAGAACUUGAUAUUCUUAACAUACACCUACUCUCUGAUGUAUCUUUUAUCACAGCAAACAUGGGCUCCCCAAACAGCUACGUUCAUUGUGUCCUUUGACACAGUGUACCUACAGAAAAUAGAGAAGACGUAUAUCAACAAAGCUCCAUCCAUCCAGGCUCCCCCCUUUCUUCAAAUGGCAAGGACAUGUUAAAGAUCCAUCAUACAGAUCAAGAUACAUUUGUGUGGAUGAAAUGAAAAUACUGCAGGCAGGCAUUAAUAGCUACACUUCUUGCAGAGGACAUCCUGCACUACUAACAGAGAGGAUUAAGAAUCAGCAUUAAAUUUUAUAUACAAAUAGAA
Molecule: non-coding RNA, 1465 nt
Organism: Cyanistes caeruleus (blue tit)
Lineage: Eukaryota; Metazoa; Chordata; Aves; Passeriformes; Paridae
Source: RefSeq, a predicted model, not a curated record